This 3543-nucleotide long non-coding RNA is filed under the name Salvia miltiorrhiza (redroot sage). Its description in RNAcentral is "long non-coding RNA (SMIL_LNC000059)". The record is from RNAcentral. Lineage: Eukaryota; Viridiplantae; Streptophyta; Magnoliopsida; Lamiales; Lamiaceae.
UACAUCAACAGCCGACUCCUUCUACCCUGUCAAAAGCAAUUCGCCAUUUUCCUAGUUAGAAACUCAAUUUCGCCAGAAAUUUUCCAGCGACAAUUUCAAUAGUUUGAGAAAUAAGGUGAAUUCCUUGAUUUUCCAUCUUGUGCAGUACGAGCUUGAAGAAAAAGUUAUGUUUGAAUUUUAGGGUUUUUCCGAAAAUUGGGGAUUUAAUGUUUGAGUUGAAGUUUGAUCUUGAUAUUGAGAUAUAUUAUGUUUCAAGUGUUCCUAAGCAUGAUUAUGAUGGUUAAUUGCAUAAAUUCUUACUUGAUUUUGGAUUUUUCUCAAGUUAGUGUAAACCCUAGGUUUGAGUUCGAAAAUUCUGAUUAUGUUCUUGAAUAAAUGAGUUUAUACAUGUGCUCUUGAGCUGGAAUUAUGUUAUAUAUGAGUAUAUUAUGAGUUUGCACUGUAUGGUUGUGAGAUUGAUUUUGUUAGUUUAGGUGAAGUUGGGGCUUUUGAAUUGAGAAGGUUUAUAUGCUAUUGUUUGAUGGAGAUAUGUAUACUAUAAUGUGAUUUUAUUAAUUAUUGAGGUUAGAAUAGCCCUACUACCCAAUUCUUUUGUAAAGCUCUGUUGUAUAAACAGUAGGGAAGUGAUAAAGUUGUUAUUUUUAUGCAUAUAGUUGAGAUUAGUAGUAUUGAUUGAGGUUAAUUUAGCUCAUUGAGGUUUCUUUUUAAAGAGAUUGAGAUGAUUGAUAAUGUUAGUUUAUUAAACUAUAUAUAUGCGUAUUUAUUGAGAGUUGAUGAACAUCAUUUAACUCAUUCUUUUAUCUUUCCUUAUUGAAUUUAGAGAAAUGGUUUUAGUAUGUUGAUGAUGUGACGUGAGGAAAUGUUAGGAUAAUAAGUAAAUAGCAAGUAUGAGUUAUCGUUGUAAUAUUAUAUAUAUAUAUAUAUAUAUAUAUAUAUUUUUCCUUACUCAUUUUUCUUACAAAAAAUCUUUAUCUAUUUAAAGGUUCCGGCUAGGAACGAGCCCGACACUAGAGUACGAAGUAAGAGAAACAUAUCAGGUGGGCUUACUAACUCAAGAAACAAAGAUGCAUACUUAUAUAUAUAAAGUUUAAGUGUAUGCAUUUAUUUUCAAAUUGUUGACUUGCCAAUGUUUAAGAUUUGUAUGAUACCAUCUACAUAGAAGAACGAAUUCGGGUCCUGAGCGAGUCAGGAUUUGUGUACACAGAGUGACGGUUAACCUUGAGUUAGCUUGUCGUUACGUUUGGGAAGGAGGCCUACUUCUCAACGUGUUUAUUGAGACUAGUAGAUAUGGUACAUACUUAUAUGAGAACUUAGUCUGCGCAGACACUUUCAAAUACUAUGUAAAAACAGUUUAGCAAACACAGGUUGCUUCAGAAAAUCCCUUGUGUAUUGCUUAAAGUGGCAAGUUCAAUAUAUAGCAUUAUCAUGCAGAGUUUUAAAUGUUUUCGGCAUAUGUUCACUGAGUGCUUGUGGUACUCAGCCCUGCAUAUCUUUCUAAAUGUGCAGGUUAAGUUUGGAUGAAGAUGGAAGUGUGCUGAGCUGGAGCUUUUUGUUAUGUAAAUAGUAAUAGGCUCAGGAUGUUGUGUCUUCAUACAUAACGUCCAAUGAUGUACUCCGCUGCAACACUUUAUUUCUCUUAUCACUUUUGACGUGUUGUAGAAUGUUUGAAAACCUUAACCUGUAUAUGAGCUAGUUAAAUCUUGGUUAUGAUAUGUAUUUGGUUUAAACUUCUUUUGUUAAAGGUUGGUGGUUAUAUAUGUGAGUUAAUUAUUUAUUUGUCUUAGUUUCCUUUCAAUUACUUUCUCUCGUUCUCCACCCUAGUCGUACGAUACCUGGUCUAGCUAUGUUUCUCCUAGGCCGGGCUGCGACAAAGUGGUAUCAGAGCAGGCCCUUUGCUCUGAGCCUAAUUUAUUUUGAGUUUAGUCUAGAUUGUAUCUCUAGACUACUAGAAUAUUAAUGAUGAAUGCUCAGCGCGCACACCAUAUCAUCCAGCUUAAUCAGGUAUGAGUUUAAAUUAUUUUCUUCCUUUUGGUAAAAAAAUUAUGAUGUGAUUUAAAGAGUUUGAGUUACUGAUAAAUGAAAUGAUGGAUGAUACUAUUUAUGAGAUUCUUGGAGUGAUGUUUCAGUUUAGAAUGGAUAUGAAUUUUAUUACAUGAAUUAUGAGAUUGUUUUGGGUUAUUAUUGUUCAUUUCAAACUUGUUAUGAUUUUGUAAGUAAGAUAAUGUCUAAUUAUUCAAGUAUGUGUUAUUUGAGUGAACUAUUUCAUUAUUUGGGAGAUUUAUUAGGAGUUAGUUUUUAUGAGUAUUAUGUUAAGCUAAGUUGUAAAGGUUAUAUUGGGCAGGAUGGCUCGUACCCUACGUACCGCGAGGAAGAGAGUUAGUGCUAGAGCGACACGGGAUGAGAUCCGCUGGGAGUACCUUCACUAUGGCAUGUGCUGGAGAGACACAUUGGGGGAAUUUCUUGCCCACUUCCAUGAGCACUGGUUGGCAGCUAGUAUGUAUGGGAUCUCCUCGUAUGAUGGCAUUAUUCGACUGUUGACUCUACUUCCAUCCGACUGGAAGGGUUGGGCGACCUCCAUUGCCUCAGACUACUUAUACCAUUAUGGUUAAGAGUACGACCUGUAUGUAGAUUUUCCAGGUUUCGUGGCAGCGGUUAGUCAUCAGUAUUACCGCUAUGGGGCAGCUCCUUAUGGACCAUACACAUUACCAGGAGACUACAUCCAAGCUGGAGGAGGAAUUGCCGAUUUCUUACCACGAGAUGACCCUGCUCCGUAUGUGCCGCCCGAGCCAGUUCAGGUGGCCCCACUCCUCGAGUCUGACACUGAUGACGAGAUAGCUGCUCUACUUCGUUCUCCUACACCGAUUUACAUAGUGGUUUCCUCUGAUAGUGAGACAACUUCUCAACAAACACUCACGUUUGACUGUACCAUCCUUGGAACCCGCACCCGCGACGAGUUUGAAGCUGGACCUUCCAGACCGCCUGGUGUACCUCGAGAUCAUGUGGAUUCUCCUGGAAUGCAGCCAGCUGUUGGAACCAUACGCCGAGAACCGAUAGAUCUAAAUCAAGCGAAUGUGAUAGUCGACUCGGAUGAUACACACGAGGCAGAGACACACAGUCAGACGAUACGUGUGUUCUUGAGGAGGGAUUCUGCAGGUAAGGGUGUAAGAGUUCACGAGGUUCCACGAGAUGAGGGCGAGACAGAGACGGAGCCUAGCGAGUCCAGUGCAGCAUGAGCAGAUGUUAGCUACUCUUUGAUGAUGGUUAGAUAGGAGGUGUAGUAACUUUAUGUAUGUACAUAGAUGUAUAUAGCUAUGUGUGGUGUGUAGAUGUAUAUAUGUGUUUUGAUGAUACGGAUGCGGAGUCUAGUAGAUCGCACCGUGGCAUAGUACUAGUUGUGAUGUUUAUAUAGUAGAACAUCAGGAUUAGUACUAGGGAUUUUUGUUGUACAUAUCCCUGCUAUUUUGUAAAAGUCCUCCGAGGAGGCAUCUUUUACCUGAUGAUAUAUGGUGAUGACCUACGCGGUCAUUUAGUAAAUUUCAUGAG